Molecule: ribosomal RNA, 254 nt
Filed under: uncultured prokaryote
Description: partial 16S ribosomal RNA
Rfam family: Bacterial small subunit ribosomal RNA
Source: RNAcentral
UACGGAGGAUGCGAGCGUUAUCCGGAUUUAUUGGGUUUAAAGGGUGCGUAGGCGGCUUUUUAAGUCAGCGGUGAAAUUUUGCAGCUUAACUGUAACAGUGCAGUUGAUACUGGGGAGCUAGGAUUUGGUUGCUGUGGGUGGAAUGUGUGGUGUAGCGGUGAAAUGCUUAGAGAUCACACAGAAUAUCGAUUGCGAAGGCAGCUCACAAAGCCAAGAUUGACGCUGAGGCACGAAAGUGUGGGGAUCAAACAGGA